Molecule: long non-coding RNA, 1544 nt
Organism: Heterocephalus glaber (naked mole-rat)
Lineage: Eukaryota; Metazoa; Chordata; Mammalia; Rodentia; Bathyergidae
Source: Ensembl
GUAAUCAACAAUCAUACAGCACAGGCUUAUGUGUUCUCUUGGCCACAGAGACUCAAACUCUGAAGGAUUUCUCAUAUUACCUGCUCAAAACUAAAGACUUUUAGAGCUUAUCUAUCAGAGACUCAAACUCUGAAGGACUUCUCACAUCUCAUCAUCAGUACUCAAGAUUAAGAGUUUAUCUUUCAGGUCAGCAGCCACCAGGGCAAGUAUCAGGACUUGACAGAGAAUGAAGAUACAACCCUAUAAUUUCAUGGCAUCUUCAAUCCCUAGCAGUGACUGCUUGGACUCAGAACAAUCCCCUUUGAAGCUCAAUUCAAAGGAGAGCAGGGGGUGAUCUCUCUGCUUCCCACACCUUCCACAAAGAGAAUAAAACCUCCUUCAAAGGUUAUACCUGUCACUGUAAGAGGUCAAUAUCCUAUGAACGAUGUGUUUUAGGCUGUUCAGCUAACAAGCUUCCUACUGUCAAAGAACCAAAGGAAACACAAACUCUAGGAAGAUUCACUGACAACCCCAAACAGGUAUGCAAACCAAGCAUCAAUCUAUGAGGAUCAGGAUACAGACUCAGACAGUGAAGACAUAGGAGGUGAUCAUAUCACUGGCAAAGACCAGCAGAUCAUUAAGAAUCUAAACUACAGAUGACAACAGAUUGAUUCCAUGGCUGGCUGGUUAGAAAUUCAGCUUGUCCUUCCUGAACCUACUAAGUAACAUGAAAAAGAAGAUGGUAACAAUCAGAAGAAUAAGGAAGAAACCAAGAGCAGUGAUGAACAGUAUCAGGAAAAUCAUAAGCAAAUUAAGAAAUAUGAGAAACAAGAUGAUGGCAUGCUAACUGAAUCAACAAAACAAGAUGGAAAAAAGGACUGUGAAAAGCAGAAUAACCACAAAGAAACAGGGUAAUGAAGAAGACUAUCAGGAGCUUUAUGAACAAAUUCCAGUGUAAAAAAGACAUGACAGCAGCACACUAGCUGAAUCUAACAAGGAACAUGAAAAACAACGCAAUGAAAACCAGAAGAGCAAGGAAGAAAUUGAGAACAGUAAGGAAGAACAUCAGGAACAUUAUGAAGAAAUUUAGAAAUAUGAUAAAUAUGAUGACAGCAUGGUAACAAAAUCUACUGAGGAAGAUGAAAAGGAGCACAGUGACAACCAGAUGAGCAAGGAUGGUGAAGUUGCUGAGAUGGUAAGUGAAAAGACCAACAGUCAAGAGACCAGCAUCAAAGAGUCCUCCUCAGUCUCCUUGAGGCAGUCAGAGGAGGAGGACGACACUGGCCUGACACACAGACCACAACCAGUGUGAACUUCAGGCAGGCCUUCUGCUGGCUCUGGAAAAGAGUUCUUGCUUAUUUUGGGAGGAGAGUGAUGGUCAGCAGCCCAUCAGCAACCCCAACUAAGAAAAGAGGUCUUCACACCUCCAAGAGAAUCCACCCUGAAGAAACCCUCACUGAAUUAGCAUCAGCCAAAUCCCCAGAGUUUUAAACAGUUUGAUGGCCUCAGUUCUAUAAUUCCUAUAGGUUUGUUUUUCUCAAUAAAAUAAAUGUUCUUGUUCACAG